AGUGGAAACAUUAGGUAAUACCGCAUAUGCCGAGAGGUGAAAGCUUCUUUUGAAGCGCCUGGGGAUGAGCUUGCGUCUGAUUAGUUAGUUGGUGGGGUAAUGGCCUACCAAGACUACGAUCAGUAGCCGGCCUGAGAGGGUGAACGGCCACAAUGGAACUGAGACACGGUCCAUACUCCUACGGGAGGCAGCAGCUAAGAAUCUUCCGCAAUGGGUGAGAACCUGACGGAGCGAUGCCGCGUGGAUGAUGAAGGCGGAAACGUUGUAAAAUCCUUUUAUAUGGGAAGAAUAAGUAUCCUGAGAGAAACGGGUUAUGAUGACGGUACCAUAUGAAUAAGCUUCGGCUAACUACGUGCCAGCAGCCGCGGUAAUACGUAGGAAGCAAGCGUUGUUCGGAAUUAUUGGGCGUAAAGGGCAUGUAGGUGGUUAAAUAAGUGUGGAUUUAAAGACCGGAGCUUAACUCCGUGUUUGGUCUGCAAACUGUUUGACUAGAGUAUAGGAGGGGAGAGUGGAAUUCCGCGUGUAGGGGUGAAAUCUGUAGAUAUGCGGAAGAAUACCGGUGGCGAAGGCGACUCUCUGGCCUGUAACUGACGCUGAAAUGCGAAAGUGUGGGGAUCAAACAGGAUUAGAUACCCUGGUAGUCCACACUGUAAACUUUGUACACUAGGUGUUAGAGGUAAUGAUACUUCUAGUGCCGUAGCUAACGCGUUAAGUGUACCGCCUGGGGAGUAUGCUCGCAAGAGUGA
This 746-nucleotide ribosomal RNA is filed under the name uncultured bacterium. RNAcentral's name for it is "bacterial SSU rRNA". It matches the Rfam family "Bacterial small subunit ribosomal RNA", at positions 149 to 897 of the family's 1533-position model. The record is from RNAcentral.